RNAcentral lists this small RNA (118 nucleotides) under Paenibacillus terrae HPL-003. Its description in RNAcentral is "Bacillus sRNA ncr1015". It matches the Rfam family "Bacillus sRNA ncr1015". The record is from Rfam by way of RNAcentral. Lineage: Bacteria; Bacillati; Bacillota; Bacilli; Caryophanales; Paenibacillaceae.
UUGUAAGAUGCAAUAACUUUGCUCAUGAAACUUAUAAAAGUCGUAAUCUGAUUAUAUCAAUGUGUCUGUUUAUGUGCAAUAUAAAGAACCUGGUAAAACUGUCCAGGUUCUUUUUUGA